RNAcentral lists this long non-coding RNA (3262 nucleotides) under Nicotiana tabacum (common tobacco). Its description in RNAcentral is "long non-coding RNA (NTAB_LNC003495)". Lineage: Eukaryota; Viridiplantae; Streptophyta; Magnoliopsida; Solanales; Solanaceae. The record is from RNAcentral.
UUCACUUCACAAUUUUAGGAUUUUUGUCGCCGUCUCUGCAUUUGCAGAUAACCGACGAUCGACUCACAUUUUCCGGCUACUUUAUCUUCAGAGUUUAAAUGGUUGAUCAACGUCUUCUCAAGAGCUGUGUCAUUUAAUUUUUACUUCAUUUUUCGCAUUCAUUAGGGGAGAGUGUGAAUAUUUCUACAGCACAAUAGAAGGAGACUAUCUAGUUAGGAGUUAGACUAGGAAUAUCAUUGGUCAUCUAUUGAUGCAGGCCUUUACCUUCUAGUGGUACUAUACCAGCCAUCUAUUUUGUAUCCUGUAUUUCAUAUCUCUUAUAUAUUGUUGUUAUUUUUAUUACGCAUUUUUAUGGUACUAAUAUAUCAUCUCCUAUUGCUUUUUUGAGCCGAAGGUCUCCUGGAAACAGCCUAUCUACCCUUCGGGGUAGGGGUAAGGUCUGCGUACAUAUUACCCUCCCCAGACCCCACUUGUGGGAUUACACUGGGUCGUUGUUGUUGUUGUUGUUUUCGCAUUGAACCGUUUGUCAUCCGAAAUUCGCUGAUUUUUAUUCUUUCUUUUCUUCACCUUUCAAUUGGUAUAGGGUUGCAUGAGGUUGAAAAUCCAGUUAAGAGGUAAUUUGUACUACCUUCUCCUGUUUUAUUCAUGUAAUUAAACUGUUCUUAUUUUGAAUCGUCUAUUUUUAGUUUGAUUUUAGGAACAAAAUACACUAAAGAUAGAAGUGAAUCGAAGCAGACAUUAUAUCUAUAUAUUAUGCAUUUGCUUUCUUCAUAAACUAAUACAUGAAUUCACAACUUAUGCUUUCACAUUUAGUGGAGAACUUGUGAUGUUAUUGAGUAUUGGCUGCAAAUUUGUUCUCACUGUAGCUUCAAGUUCUUCAGAAGCCUGUUCAAUACGAAAUAGGCAUGUAAAAAAAUUGAUCAAUGAUGAGGAAAUAACCAUUGUUUAUUUGUCUGAGAAACAAAUACUAUUUUGCUUAUAAAGAAAGUUUGAAAUUCAGCAAAACAUUAUCAAUUUGAGUUCAGAGAUUCGUCCAACUUUAUCAGAAGUAACUCUUAAUAGUCCUCUUUUUGCUUAUAUUCUUAGUGCUGCUGACACAGAGGGGUUUUUCUUUCAAGUGUAAGUGCUGCUGAAAUUAUCUUCUUGAUAAGUGACUAAUUGGGAUUGCUGAAGGGUUAUUGAGGAAUGUGAGGAGCUCAUAAAAUAUUUGUUGCAUCAUGUGAUGAUAUGUAUGAUCAGCACUAGAAACAAUUGUUAAACAAUUGUAUUUUGUAUAAUGAGGUGGUAGGGGAUCGAGAUGUAGGACUUGUGCACGUGAUCUAAACAAGUAGGAUUAUAUUUCAUUAUUUAGAAGCUUAAUUAAUAGGUAAAUGUGCAGACAUCUCUGGAACUUUCCACUUGCAAAAAGUUGAAGCUUUAAGCAUUUAUUCUUUAGAAUAUAGGGGUCAAUUAUUUUUUUUAUUUUUUUUGUAUAGCAAGGAGAGUGACUAGCCUUUGACUUAAAGUUACUAAAAAUGGAAAGGUGGUUAAUAAGCAGUACCAGAAAUAGGAGAAUAACAACAUAUGGAAUCUAUACAGGGUAUGUCAAUUAUCAAAGUUACCAAGUUUUACAUACUUUGUUUUGUUAACAAGCUUAAAAGAUAACGUUUUGAUGGUGUUUUCUUAAAUCAUUCGUUGUGAAAAUUAAUGAUUGGCAGAUAUAACAAAAUGCUUAGCCUUAAAAAUACAGAAUGUAUCAUUGACUUUUAUGUAGAUGAAAAGAUUAGUUUGGCUGUGUGGAGAGUAGAGAUUUGCUAUACCUUUGUUCAUUGGCAUAACCUCUGCUAUUGCUUCCAACGGCUUUGUAAUUGGGCAAAGGUACUUGGCCAUUUUCAAUUUGCAUGAUAUCCUUCAAAAGCAACUCAUAAUGUCUCCUCACUUCCUCUGCUGAUUUUCCACCUACACACCUGGCAAUGUUAUGCCAGCGGUCAGGAGUUUCCUUGUCAAAUAAAGCCAACGCCUCCUCAAACUUCUUGUUUUGCCUUGUAGUCCAUGAGGCCAUUAUUGAUUAAUAGGGAUAGAGGGUUGAGAGCUACCUCAGGCAAAGUCAAGUGUUCAAGUGAAUGGUAUGGACAAGAUAAUGCUAAGCUAGCUAGUUCCUUAUAAGCUGGGGGAGUGGUCUUGGUUUCUGGCAAGUUGGCGAAUAUUUCGUUUUCUUUUAGGGAGGUGGAAUACAUGGUUAUUGAAGUAAUGCUAAUGGGAAUAGGUGGAAGGAGAAUAAGGAAAUAGUAUUUGUGACUUUGCUUGCUUUAUUUGGAAAGUAAUGUCAUCAGCAAGUGGAUCAGAUAAGAAAUUCACCCAGCUGGAGGAGAUUAGAUCCCCUAAUUCCAAUUCUAUGGCUAUGAUAGACGCGCCAAUGUUUUAUAAUAUUUAGGCUGAAAAAUAAUUAUCAAGAUAUUUUGCCAGCUUCUAGGUUGCAAAAUGUUGCUUAAAUUCUGCAUCAAUUGGUAAACCAUUUGUCAUCCUUCAAUUGUUAUCUGCCAGUCAUUUGUUGACAAUGCGUGCAUUAACCUAAGCAUUGUUGAUCUUUAUGUUUUGAUGAUAACGAAUUAUGAACAAAGUGAAAAGAGCUUAAAAUAACUCAAUUUCAUUGUUCUUUAAGUUUUAUCAUCUUACAUUUGAAUGGUUAUAACUAUUAGGUUGCUUAUAGCUGUAUCAAAUUAUGAUCCCGAGUUGCAAGUUGGAACAGGCAAGUGACUGCUGCUUAUGUUUAUUCUCUCUAGGAAUGGAGUCACCCUGUGCGUAUUUCUAUUACCGCUUCUACAGAAUUCCCUCCUUUUGUUUUUUAAGAUAUGGUGUAGGUAUGCAUUGCUUCUUACUAAUGUUUCUUGUUAUGUUAGUUUCUGCCAUAACGGCCUUUCCAGUUUGGAUCACAUUGAGGCGUUUGUCAUUCUUAGAUGAAUUACUUUUGAGUCAAAGUAAUAGUUCUCAAAAAGACUCUCAAAAUUACCAAAAAGGGAAGAAUUGUCCCUUUUAGACCACUUGCUUUGAGACCUUUUUCACUUGAGAUACUGUCUGCCAACAUGGGAGAGGAGGUGAAGGGACACCUUUUGUCAAAAUACUGCAGUAGGAAUCUAUGUUAUUAUACAACAAAGUAUCUGAUGUUUAAGUAUCUCAUGUAAAUACGGCUGGAGCCUCCUUGUGGUUUUGAAAACAAUGUGUUUCCCCAUAACUCUCUGAGUAUUCUGUUUUCCUCUAAAACCUUGAUUUAAAUGUCCAAAAU